This 475-nucleotide ribosomal RNA is filed under the name uncultured bacterium. RNAcentral describes it as "bacterial SSU rRNA". It matches the Rfam family "Bacterial small subunit ribosomal RNA", at positions 29 to 518 of the family's 1533-position model. The record is from RNAcentral.
AUUAACGCUGGCGGCGUGCCUAAUACAUGCAAGUCGAAUGGUAGUAGCAAUACAAACCAUGGCGAACGGGUGAGUAACACGUAGGUAACCUGUCUUUAAGACGAGGAUAACCGUUGGAAACGACGGAUAAUACUGGAUAGGACAUCACAAAGGGCAUCCUUAGAUGUUUAAAGAUUAUUAUGUCACUUAGAGAGGGGCCUGCGGCGCAUUAGCUAGUUGGUGAGGUAAAAGCCCACCAAGGCGAUGAUGCGUAGCCGGACUGAGAGGUUGAACGGCCACAAUGGAACUGAGAACGGUCCAUACUCCUACGGGAGGCAGCAGUAGGGAAUUUUCGGCAAUGGGCGCAAGCCCUGACCGAGCAACGCCGCGUGAACGAAGAAGUUAUUCGUAAUGUAAAGUUCUUUUAUCUGGGAAGAAAAAACAAAUUGACGGUACCAGAUGAAUAAGCUCCGGCUAACUACGUGCCAGCCGCCGC